CCACCCUCUCCCUCCUUCCCUUCCAUCUCUCUCUCCCUCCUUCCCUUCCAUCUCUCUCUCCCUCCUUCCCUUCCAUCUCUCUCUUCCUCCUUUCCUUCAUCCAGCUCUAUCCUUCCAUCCCUCCAUCUCUUGUUUAAUAACUGACGUUGCCUUAGGUCUAUAUUGAAGUUACAAACCAAAUAAAAGGAGACGUCCAUUUUUAACAACAAUUUUUAAACAAAAAAAAAUGAUCCUGUUGUUGUUUAGGAAGAGGUCAUCUAGAGGUCAUCUAGAGGUCAUCUAGACCUCUUUACGUUCUUUUAGAUGUGAAUAUCUAUUCUAGGUCAAUUAUUACUGUGUGUACUAUUAUAAUACCUGGUGCGCAUCCCAAAUGGAACCCUGUUCCCUAUAUAUAGGGAAUAGGGUGCCAGCCCUGGUCUAAAGUAGUGCCCUAUAUAGGGAAUAGGGUGCCAGCCCUGGUCUAAAGUAGUGCCCUAUAUAGGGAAUAGGGUGCCAGCCCUGGUCUAUAGUAGUGCCCUAUAUAGGGAAUAGGGUGCCAGCCCUGCUCUAUAGUAGUGCCCUAUAUAGGGAAUAGGGUGCCAGCCCUGGUCUAUAGUAGUGCCCUAUAUAGGGAAUAGGGUGCCAGCCCUGGUCUAUAGUAGUGCCCUAUAUAGGGAAUAGGGUGCCAGCCCUGGUCUAUAGUAGUGCCCUAUAUAGGGAAUAGGGUGCCAUUUGAGAAGCGGCCCCUGAUAACCUGUUGUUGCGUGUCAGACCUUUUUCUUUUGUUACUGUACGACAACUUUGACUGUUGAAAUGCUGUUUUAGAAGUGAUGUGUUUUUAAUAAGAAACUGAAGAACGAAAAUGUAGCGACAGGGUUUUUGUUUUACCACAAUGCUGUUACACUUUUAUGCAACUUUAAUAAACAAAAUAUGUUAAAAGGGGGUGUGUUCAUGUGGUGGGUGUGACAACACUGACACUGGGAAUGGUUUUAACACCACCUGCAGGAUGUUUGUCACUAUGUAACUACUGUAGCUAAUGCAUCAAUACUGUCUUCACAAUCCCAGGGUGUUAGGGAUUGUGUUUCUGUGUCCCAAAUAGCUUAUUCCCCCCCCAAGGACAAAUUCCACUGCAAAUGCCAAUAGAAUAGAAUGGGGCUAUAGUGGCAUCUUCAGCUCUCUGGAUCUUUUCUAAUGUACUGUAUACUGAACCAAACUAUAAACUCAACAUGUAAAGUGAUGGUUUCAUCAACUGAAAUAUAAAAUCCCCAAAAUGUUCCAUACAUACAAAAUGCUUAUUUUUCUAAUUUGGUGCACAAAUUUGUUUACAUCCCCUGUUGGUGAGUAAUUUCUCCUUUGUUAAGAUAAUCCAUCCACCUCACAGCUUUGGUAUAUGAAGAAGCUGAUUAAACAGCUUAUUGCUGGCGUCAAUAAAAG
RNAcentral lists this long non-coding RNA (1413 nucleotides) under Salmo salar (Atlantic salmon). Its description in RNAcentral is "lncRNA (ENSSSAG00000086814.1)". The record is from RNAcentral. Lineage: Eukaryota; Metazoa; Chordata; Actinopteri; Salmoniformes; Salmonidae.